GUUGACUAUAAUUCACUUUGACCUUUUUGACGAACUACUGUCCUUGGGCAACGUGAGUUUUCUUGCUGUAAAGAGGAGCCUACGUAUGCGGCACCUUUCAAUGUAUUUAAGUGUUUGCAAGGCUCAAUAAAUAACUACGGUAAAAGUGUUUUUCCGUGGGGUUUUGUACAUCUGUCAAACCGGUUCGUCAUAUUGAAAAAUCGUAGCAUUGCGCAGUAACAGGUUUGAUAAGAUGUCUGGGAACUGUAGGCCCUUGCUGUUAGCGUUAAGUCGCUCUGUGGUGGGGAGACAGGUCUCCAGGAGCGUUUUGUCGCAGAGUAGUGCCGCAGGGACCAGAACAGUAGCGGAGAGAUGUGGCCGUCCGCGGUUCCAUCACCAUUGGACCGCCGCACUGAAACCCCGGUAUCACAGCCUCUCCGCAGUGCAGUCCCAACUCGGGCUACACUCUGAGUCAGGAGCCCCCUUCAAAGAUGAUGACUACCCACCUCUACCAGACUACAACUCUGACCCAGGACCGGAGAAGAAGGAGGUGUUUAUCAUCAGAGCGAAAGGACUUCCAUGGUCCUGUACCACAGACGAUCUCAUUCAGUUCUUCUCUGAGUGCCGUGUGCGUGACGGUGUGAAGGGGAUCCACCUGACGGUGAACCGGGAUGGGAAGCCCAACGGCCAGGCCUUUAUAGAGCUGGAGCAUGAAGAGGACGUCAGCAAGGCCCUGGAGAAACACAGACAGUACCUCGGACCACGCUAUAUAGAAGUGUUUGAGGUGACCAACAGCGAUGCGGAGGCCAUUUUGAAGAAGUCAGUUCAGCUCCCAGCCAGAGACGGAGUGGUACGGAUCAGAGGUCUACCCUACAGCUGCACCGAGACUGACGUCAUGCUCUUCUUCUCUGGUCUGGAUGUGAUGGAGGACGGUGUGACUCUAGUGACAGACCACAGAGGAAGGAACUCAGGGGAGGCCUAUGUCCAGUUCCUGUCCCAGGAGCAGGCUGACGAGGCCCUGACCAGAGACAGAGAGGUCAUCGGAAACCGGUACAUCGAGGUGUUCCCCAGUAGGAGGAGUGAGAUCGGAGGUCGGAAGAAGACAGAGUCUGUUGAAGAGGGCAGAAACUCCAGACAGAGUCAACCACACAGGCCUGCAGCACAGCCUCCUAGACAUGGUGAGACAGACAGACCUGCAGCACAGCCUCCUAGACAUGGGUCUCAUCCGGUAUCUUCUCUGCCCCAACACUUUGUUCACAUGAGAGGACUGCCCUUCCAAGCCACAGGAAAUGACAUCGUUCAGUUCUUCUCUCCUCUAGCGCUGUCCAGGAUUCUGGUGGAGUUCGGUCCAGACGGGAGGGCCAGUGGAGAGGCUGAUGUUUACUUCACAUCGCACCAGGACGCCGUCUCAGCCAUGACCCGGGACAAGGCACACAUGCAAGAGCGAUACAUAGAGCUGUUCCUGAAUUCAACAUCAUCUGACGAGGGGCAAUGAGGUUUACCAGGUUAGCGGUGGGCUGAGAGAUGACAUCGGGAGGUGUGGUGGUGAAAAUCCCCAUCGACUGGAUGUGUCACCAUUUAAGAGCGAUACAUAGAGCUGUUCCUGAAUUCAACAUCAUCUGACGAGGGGCAAUGAGGUUUACCAGGUUGGUCUGAAUUCAACAUCAUCAGACGAGGGCCAAUGAGGUUUACCAGGUUGGUCUGAAUUCAACAUCAUCAGACGAGGGGCAAUGAGGUUUACCAGGUUAGCGGUGGGCUGAGAGAUGACAUCGGGAGGUGUGGUGGUGAAAAUCCCCAUCGACUGGAUGUGUCACCAUUUGUAAGGGUGUAGAAAUGAUGUUGAAUAUAAUAAAACUACGUUCAAUCUGA
This is a non-coding RNA of Oncorhynchus mykiss (rainbow trout), 1848 nucleotides long. Lineage: Eukaryota; Metazoa; Chordata; Actinopteri; Salmoniformes; Salmonidae. The record is from RefSeq and is a predicted model, not a curated record.